GACGAACGCUGGCGGCGUGCUUAACACAUGCAAGUCGAACGGUGAAGCGCCUUCCUUUUUGGUGGGUGUGGAUGAGUGGCGAACGGGUGAGUAACACGUGCGUAACCUGCCCCCUUCUUCUGGAUAACCGAAUGAAAGUGUGGCUAAUACGGGAUCUCCUGGGUCUGUCGCAUGAUGGGUCUGGGUAAGAUAUUGUUUCGGUGGGGGCUGGGCGCGCGGCCUAUCAGCUUGUUGGUGGGAUGCUGGCCUACGACGGCGGUGCCGGGUAGCCGGCCUGGGGGGGUAGACGGUCACAGUGGGACUGCGACACGGCCCGGACUCCUACGGGAGGCAGCAGGGUGGGGGAUGGAACAGUGGGGGAAAUCCUGCUGCAGCGACGCCGCGGGUGCGAUGGAGGCCUGCGGGGGGUGAACCUCUUUCGCUUGUGAAGCGGGCCUGCCUCGUAUGUGGGUUGAGUGACAGUAGCUGGUUAAGAAGCGCCGGCUAACUACGUG
RNAcentral lists this ribosomal RNA (494 nucleotides) under uncultured bacterium. RNAcentral's name for it is "partial 16S ribosomal RNA". It matches the Rfam family "Bacterial small subunit ribosomal RNA", at positions 28 to 507 of the family's 1533-position model. The record is from RNAcentral.